RNAcentral lists this ribosomal RNA (247 nucleotides) under uncultured bacterium. RNAcentral describes it as "partial 16S ribosomal RNA". It matches the Rfam family "Bacterial small subunit ribosomal RNA", at positions 88 to 334 of the family's 1533-position model. The record is from RNAcentral.
AAUCCUAGUGGCGAACGGGUGAGUAACGCGUUGGUGACCUGCCCCAAAGUGUGGGAUAACAGUCCGAAAGGAUUGCUAAUACCGCAUGUGGUCAUUGGAUUUAGAAACCGAUGACUAAAGGAGUAAUCCGCUUUGGGAGGGACCUGCGUCCCAUCAGCUAGUUGGUGAGGUAAUGGCUCACCAAGGCUACGACGGGUAGGGGACCUGAGAGGGUGGCCCCCCACAAUGGAACUGAAACACGGUCCAU